Molecule: long non-coding RNA, 2795 nt
Filed under: Zostera marina
Lineage: Eukaryota; Viridiplantae; Streptophyta; Magnoliopsida; Alismatales; Zosteraceae
Description: long non-coding RNA (ZMAR_LNC002496)
Source: RNAcentral
CCAAAUCGAUUUUUUCUCCCACUCCCGUUUCCGAUUUCCGACGAGCGGCGAUUCCAACUUCUGACGAGCGGCCUGUCCGGCGAGGGCGAUACUUCCUGUCCAGUGAGCAGCGGUGAGGGAAAUACUUCCAUCCGGCGAGCAGCGGGCGAUACCUCCGAUCCAUUACGACAACUUCCAGGUAAGAGUUCCUUCAUCGUUUACUUCCUGUCUUGAACACCUUUUACUAGUCUCUAAUCUUGUGGGAUUAAAACAGACUAUUUGUCUUCUUAUGUGACCAGAUUGAUUUUUUUUUACAUAAUCAGAUUGAUUUUGUUUACAUAAUCUAGCAUUCACAUUUUCUUUUUCUAAUUAUGUAUGACUGUUUCUAAUUUAAUCAUUCCAAGUAUCACAUCGAAAAAAUAGAAUAUGGAAUUUAUCCAAAAUAUUACAUUUUUUUGGUUGACUGAAAACGACUAUUCCAGAUGAUUUUUUUUUACAUAAUCAGAUUGAUUUUUGAAUUUAAAUUUAUGUUCUGUUUUAAUUAUAUGAAAUGAUUAAGUAAAUGAUCUUUAAUUUAGAUAUAUGUUAUGCAUGUUUUUUGAUUUUAGGAAUAGUGGGAUGAAAAUACGAUAUCCAAUAAUACAUUGGAUCGUAUAUUAAUUUUAAAUACUAAUUGUAUCGGUCUAAAAUUUUUAAAAUGACCGAUGAUGAUCGAACUUGGAUGUAUAACCGACAAUAUUCAAAUGGAUCGCACGUAUUGCCAGAUAAUCUAGAAUUAUGGGUGAAAGCUACUGAGGGGGAAAAAUAAAGUCGUGUUCUUGGAACAAGAGCAAGUCAUCCAAUGUCAUUACCAUCAAAUCCUAAUAUGGCGACUUCACAGAAUACAAGUUCGGAUAUUUUUGAAAUUCAACGACAAACAAAAAAAGAAACAUUUGAUCUAACAGUGCAAGAAGUCAUUCGAAAACAAAUGUCGGAUAUAGUUAAGAAAGUAAGUAUUAAGACUAUAAAUUGUGUAGAAUAUAACUUGUAUUUUCUAUAUUAUUAUGAGAGUUGAUUACAUUGUUUAUUUAUACUAACUUCUCUAAUUAAUUAUUCUAACUAAUUUCUGUUAAACUACCGUUAGUAAUUGUAGUUUGGUUCUCACACCCCCCCUUCAAUCUGAGUGCUCGUGCAAAGAUUGAGUUUUUCUUUUAAUACUGAGAACUGAACCGUCGAUAAACCUUUUGUGAAGAUGUCUACAACUUGACAUUCCGUAGGUAUGUAAGAAACCUGAAGUACCCCUCUUUCAAUAAGUUAUCUUACAAAAUGGUAAUCUAUGUCCAUAUGCCUGGUUCGGUUCUUACCUGUUGGGUUUGAUGCCAGAAAAAGAGUUGACAUGUUAUCACAGUAUACCAUUGGUGGUUUUUGGAUUCGAAUACAUAAAUCUCGUAAUAAAAAGCAAAGACCUCGAACUUCUGAAGCUUGAUAUUCUGCUUCGGUGUUGGAACGAGAGACUGCAGCUUGUUUCUUUGAAAACCAGUUUACUAAGUUCGAUCCUACAUAAAAACAUGCUCCAGUAUAAGAUUGUCGUGUAUCUGGGUCUCCUGCCCAGUCAGCGUCAGUAAAUGCGUUGAUAGUGUUAUUUGAAAAUUGGUAUGACGUUUAUUUGAAUAUUCGAAUAUCUCUCUUUUGAUCUUUGAAGUAUUGGAUGUCAUUGUUUAUAGUCUCUUUGAUGCAUCUUAAAAUACAUUUUACUGUUUUAAAGUGACUCAUUCUUGGAUUUUGUAAAAAUUGUGUCGCUUGUCCUACCGCAUAAGAUAAGUCAGGACGAGUUAAUGUGAUGUAUUGUAGUGACCCAACGAUUUGUCUAUACAGAGUGGGAUCAGAUAAGAUUUCUCUGUCCGUAGCUGAUAGUUUUGAGCCUGAUGUUAUAGAAUUUGAAAUAGAAGCACAAUUGUACAUAUUAAACUUGACUAUGAUUUCUUUUGCGUAUUUUUGUUGAGAGAUUAAUGCUCAUUCUUUAUUGUAAAUAAUUUCAAUGCCUAAGAAGUAUCUGAGCAAGCCCAAAUCACUACACUUGAACUGUUUGCAGAGAUGUGAGAUGAAUUCAUUUGUGUGCCUAAGGUCAUUCCCGGUAAUGAUUUGAUCGUCAAUGUAGAUAAGAAUAUAUAUUAUUUUUCCCUUCUCUUUCUUUAUGAAAAGUGAUGAAUCUGCUUUACUGUUAAUAAAUUUCAUUCUUAUAAGAGCUCUUGCCAAUUUAUAAUAUCAUGUCCGUGGAGAUUGUUUAAGACCGUAUAAUGCUUUCUUUAAUUUGCAUAUGUGGUUUGGGUAAUUAUGAUCUUUAAAUCCUGGAGGUUGUCUCAUAUAAAUUGUUUCAGUUAAAUCCCCAUGUAAGAAAACGUUGCACACGUCGAGUUGGCGUAGUGCCCAAAUUGAUGAAAUGGCGUGGGCGAUGACAGUGCGAAUGGUCAUGUGAUGUAUUAUCGGACUAUAAAUUUGCUCGUAUUCUGUUUCAUACUCCUGAUGUAGCCCUAUUGCUACUAAUCGUGCUUUGUAUCUGUUUAUUUUACCUUCUGAAUUUUUUUUAAUUCGAAAGACCCAUUUAGAACAUAUAAUGUUCAUAUCUGAGAUUGGUUUGACUAGUUCCCAUGUGUUGUUGAUGUGUAAUGCUUUUAUCUCCUCUUUCAUUGUUGUUGACCAUUUUCGUUGACUCAUUGCGAUUUUGUAUCCUGUUGGCUCUUUUUCUUCUAAGGAAGUUGUAUAUGCUACAUAGUCUUUAUCUUUAGUUGGUUUUCUUCUAUUUUUUUCUGACCUUUUUAUUAGUGGUGUAUUUUGAU